RNAcentral lists this unclassified non-coding RNA (328 nucleotides) under soil metagenome. RNAcentral's name for it is "partial contains 5.8S ribosomal RNA, internal transcribed spacer 2, and large subunit ribosomal RNA". The stretch from base 1 to 120 matches the Rfam family "5.8S ribosomal RNA", at positions 35 to 154 of the family's 154-position model. The record is from RNAcentral.
GAUGAAGAACGCAGCGAAAUGCGAUACGUAAUGUGAAUUGCAGAUUUUAGUGAAUCAUCGAAUCUUUGAACGCACAUUGCGCCCGCCAGUAUUCUGGCGGGCAUGCCUGUUCGAGCGUCAUUACAACCCUCAAGCUCAGCUUGGUGUUGGGCCCCGCCGCCCCGGCGGGCCCUAAAGUCAGUGGCGGUGCCGUCCGGCUCCGAGCGUAGUAAUUCUUCUCGCUAUGGAGUCCUGGUGGAUGCUUGCCAUCAACCCCCAAUUUUUCUAUGGUUGACCUCGGAUCAGGUAGGGAUACCCGCUGAACUUAAGCAUAUCAAUAAGCGGAGGA